RNAcentral lists this non-coding RNA (27 nucleotides) under Cricetulus griseus (Chinese hamster). The record is from RNAcentral. Lineage: Eukaryota; Metazoa; Chordata; Mammalia; Rodentia; Cricetidae.
AAUGAAAUCAGAAUAAAACUUGUUAGA